Non-coding RNA from Nicotiana tabacum (common tobacco), 187 nucleotides. The record is from RefSeq and is a predicted model, not a curated record. Lineage: Eukaryota; Viridiplantae; Streptophyta; Magnoliopsida; Solanales; Solanaceae.
GAUUGGUGACAAUCCAUUUGUCGACGUAAAAGUUGCACGGCAGGCAGGGCAUCCUUGGUUUUCAAUUUUGACGAGGACUGGUGUUUUCAAAGAAAGAGGAAAUCAUGCAGAAUUUCCUGCUGAUCUAGUGGUCGACACUGUUGAAGAGGCAGUGGAUUUCAUUUUGAAGAGAGAGUCUAGUUAGCAG